RNAcentral lists this ribosomal RNA (885 nucleotides) under uncultured bacterium. RNAcentral's name for it is "bacterial SSU rRNA". It matches the Rfam family "Bacterial small subunit ribosomal RNA", at positions 49 to 927 of the family's 1533-position model. The record is from RNAcentral.
UAACACAUGCAAGUCGCGGGGCAGCAUGGGGGUUGCUUGCAAUCCCCGAUGGCGACCGGCGCACGGGUGAGUAACGCGUAUCCAACCUGCCCUUCACCACGGGAUAACCCGGCGAAAGUCGGACUAAUACCGUAUGUUGUCCAUUGACGGCAUCCGAUUUGGACGAAAGGCUUUGCGGUGAAGGAUGGGGAUGCGUCCGAUUAGCCAGACGGCGGGGUAACGGCCCACCGUGGCUACGAUCGGUAGGGGUUCUGAGAGGAAGGUCCCCCACACUGGAACUGAGACACGGUCCAGACUCCUACGGGAGGCAGCAGUGAGGAAUAUUGGUCAAUGGGCGGAAGCCUGAACCAGCCAAGUAGCGUGCAGGAUGACGGCCCUAUGGGUUGUAAACUGCUUUUAUGCGGGGAUAAAGUGGCCCACGUGUGGGUUUUUGCAGGUACCGCAUGAAUAAGGACCGGCUAAUUCCGUGCCAGCAGCCGCGGUAAUACGGAAGGUCCGGGCGUUAUCCGGAUUUAUUGGGUUUAAAGGGAGCGUAGGCCGCGCCUUAAGCGUGUUGUGAAAUCCGGGUGCUCAACAUCCGGCUUGCAGCGCGAACUGGGGCGCUUGAGUGCGCUGAAAGUAGGCGGAAUUCGUGGUGUAGCGGUGAAAUGCUUAGAUAUCACGAGGAACUCCGAUUGCGAAGGCAGCCUACUGUAGCGCUACUGACGCUGAUGCUCGAAAGCGUGGGUAUCGAACAGGAUUAGAUACCCUGGUAGUCCACGCGGUAAACGAUGGAUGCUCGUUGUCGGCCCCUUGGGUCGGUGACCAAGCGAAAGCGUUAAGCAUCCCACCUGGGGAGUACGCCGGCAACGGUGAAACUCAAAGGAAUUGACGGGGGCCCGCACA